ACGGGAGGCAGCAGUGAGGAAUAUUGGUCAAUGGGCGGAAGCCUGAACCAGCCAAGUCGCGUGAAGGAAGAAGGUAUUAUGUAUUGUAAACUUCUUUAGACGUAGAGAAAUAAGCGGGUCGUGACCCGUGAUGCUAGUAUACGUAGAAUAAGGAUCGGCUAACUCCGUGCCAGCAGCCGCGGUAAUACGGAGGAUCCGAGCGUUAUCCGGAUUUAUUGGGUUUAAAGGGUGCGCAGGCGGUCUUUUAAGUCAGUGGUUAAAUAGUGAGGCUCAACCUCAUCCCGCCAUUGAUACUGGGAGACUUGAUUGCGGUCGAGGUUGGCGGAAUUCGCCGUGUAGCGGUGAAAUGCAUAGAUAUGGCGAAGAACUCCGAUUGCGUAGGCAGCUGACCAGGCCGUAAAUGACGCUCAUGCACGAAAGUGCGGGGAUCGAACAGGAUUAGAUACCCUGGUA
Molecule: ribosomal RNA, 453 nt
Filed under: uncultured Porphyromonadaceae bacterium
Lineage: Bacteria; Pseudomonadati; Bacteroidota; Bacteroidia; Bacteroidales; Porphyromonadaceae
Description: partial 16S ribosomal RNA
Rfam family: Bacterial small subunit ribosomal RNA
Source: RNAcentral